UACGGAGGGUGCAAGCGUUAUCCGGAUUCACUGGGCUUAAAGGGUGCGUAGGUGGGUUUGUAAGUCAGUGGUGAAAUCUCCAAGCUUAACUUGGAAACUGCCGUUGAUACUAUAAAUCUUGAAUGUUGUGGAGGUGAGCGGAAUAUGUCAUGUAGCGGUGAAAUGCUUAGAUAUGACAUAGAACACCAAUGGCGAAGGCAGCUCACUACACAAAGAUUGACACUGAGGCACGAAAGCGUGGGGAUCAAACAGG
Molecule: ribosomal RNA, 253 nt
Filed under: uncultured bacterium
Lineage: Bacteria
Description: partial 16S ribosomal RNA
Rfam family: Bacterial small subunit ribosomal RNA
Source: RNAcentral